CUGGGCCUAGGGCCUGGGGUGUGCCCUGCAACUGGGGGGUGGGGCUGGAUGUUCUUGGAGUCAGGGAGCAGCAGCCUCCCACAGGAUGUGAGAGAGGAACUGGGGUCUCCAGUCACGGGAGCCAGGAGCCGGCCAGGGCCGCAGGCAGGAAGGGAGCGAGGCUGAAGGGAACGUCGUCCUCUCAGCAUGGGGGUCCCGCGGCCUCAACCCUGGGCGCUGGGGCUCCUGCUCUUUCUCCUGCCCGGGAGCCUGGGCGCAGAAAGCCACCUCUCCCUCCUGUACCACCUCACCGCGGUGUCCUCGCCUGCCCCGGGGACUCCUGCCUUCUGGGUGUCUGGCUGGCUGGGCCCGCAGCAGUACCUGAGCUACAAUAGCCUGCGGGGCGAGGCGGAGCCCUGUGGAGCUUGGGUCUGGGAAAACCAGGUGUCCUGGUAUUGGGAGAAAGAGACCACAGAUCUGAGGAUCAAGGAGAAGCUCUUUCUGGAAGCUUUCAAAGCUUUGGGGGGAAAAGGUCCCUACACUCUGCAGGGCCUGCUGGGCUGUGAACUGGGCCCUGACAACACCUCGGUGCCCACCGCCAAGUUCGCCCUCAACGGCGAGGAGUUCAUGAAUUUCGACCUCAAGCAGGGCACCUGGGGUGGGGACUGGCCCGAGGCCCUGGCUGUCAGUCAGCGGUGGCAGCAGCAGGACAAGGCGGCCAACAAGGAGCUCACCUUCCUGCUGUUCUCCUGCCCGCACCGCCUGCGGGAGCACCUGGAGAGGGGCCGCGGAAACCUGGAGUGGAAGGGCUGGAGUGCAAUGGCAGGAUCUCGGCUCAUCACAACCUCCGCCUCCCGAGUUCAAGUGAUUCUCCUGCCUCAGCCUCCCGAGUGGCUGGAUUACAGGCAUGCACCACCAUGCCCAGCUAAUUUUGUAUUUUUAGUAGAGACGGGGUUUCUUCAUGUUGGUCAGGCUGGUCUCAAACCCCUGACCUCAGGUGAUCCGCCCACCUCAGCCUCCCCAAGUGCUGGGAUUACAGGCGUGAGCUACUGCACCUGGCCGCCUUUUUUUUUUUUUGAGACAGAUUCUCGCUCUGUCACCCCAGGCUGGAAUGUGGUGGCAUGAUCUCGGCUCACUGCAGCCUGAACCUCCCAGGCUCAAGCAAUCCUCCCACCUCAGCCAACUAAGUAGCUGGGAACCACCGCCCAGCGUCAUCACACCUGGCUAACUUUAUAUUUUUUAGACACGGUGUCUCACUGUGUUGCCCAGGCUGGUCUUGAACUCCUAGGCUCCAGCGAUCCUCCUACUUUGGUCUCCUGAGUAGCUGAGAUUACAGGUGCAUACCACCGUAACUGGCUAAUUUUUUUUUUCCGCACGAUCUCUGUCGCCCAGGCUAGUGUGCAGCAGCGUGAUCUCAGCUCGCUGCAAUCUCUGCCUCCUGGGUUUAAGGGAUUCUGCUGCUGCAGACUCAUGAGUAGCUGGCACUACAGGCACGUCCACCAUGUCUGGCUAAUUUUUGUACUUUUAGUAGAGAUGCGGUUUCGUCAUGGUAGCUAGGCUGGUCUCACACUCUUGACCUCAAGUGAUCCACCCACCUCAGCCUCCCAAAGUGCUGGAUUUACUGGAGUGAGCUACCGCGUCUGGCCAUACCUGGCUAAUGUUUGUUGUAGAUGUGGCAUCUCACUAUGCUGCCCAGGCCAGACUCAAACUCCUGGCCUCAAGUGAUUCACUUUGGCCUCCCAGGGUGCUGGGAUGACGGUGUGAGCCACUGUGCUUGGCCUUCCUUGCCUUAAUGUCCUCAUCAGACCCACGCAGCAGCACUUGUCUCUACACAGCCAUCAGAGUCUACGCUCCAGCCACCCAACAUAAGCAAUGUCCUCCCUCUGAGCAUUUGCUCAUCCAGUUCCCCCUGGCACCUCUCUAUUCCACCCUUCCCCCUCUCUGCAUAUACUCCAGCCCUCCUUAUUCUUCAAGGUCGGGGCUGGAUAUCACUUCCUCUGAGAAGCCUUCCUUCAGCUCUGUAGGGCAGAGUUCACUGUUUCCUCCCUGGAGGCCCCCAGAUCCCCCACUCAUUCAACUGUUGGCCAAGAGCAUUUGCACUGCCAGGCGCUACUGUGGGCCUUGAGCAAAGAGGGAAGUGACACAGGUUCACCCUCUGUGGCUCCCAGGCUGCUGGACAAAGAUAGAUACCAGCUGGGGACGUGCACAGAUAUUCAUUCCAAGUGCCACAAAGGAGAAGUUGAGACUCAACCAGACGGGGUGUCGCUCUGUUGCCCAGGCUGGAGUGCAGUGGCGCGAUCCUGGCUCACUGCAACAUCUGCCUCCCAGGUUCAAGCGAUUCUCCUGCCUCAGCCUCCUGAGUAGCUGGGACUACAGGUGCCUGGCUAAUUUUUGUAUUUUUAGUAGAGAUGGGGUUUCACCAUGUUGGCCAGUCUGGUCCUGAACUCCUGACCUCAGGUGAUCCACCCACUUUGGCCUCCCAAAGUGUUGCGAUUACAGGCGUGAGCCAACAUGCCCAGCCCAGGGAGGUGACAUCUUGAGGGGACACCUUCAGGGUGGAUAGGUUGAGUCUCUAUCACCUAGGAAGCGCCUCCCCUUUUACCACUGUAUUAUCUGGGGUUAGCACAGUGCAAACAUGGAGGCCUCUUUCUGUCCCUAUCCAGCCCUGGCUCUGGGAGUGGUGGGCUCGCGACUUAGGCUUGUCUGCCUGGUUUCCUGCAGAGCCCCCCUCCAUGCGCCUGAAGGCCCGACCCAGCAGCCCCG
Pongo pygmaeus (Bornean orangutan) is the source of this 2742-nucleotide RNA transcript. It is a transcript of the gene named Fc gamma receptor and transporter, with no coding region annotated. The transcript has 6 exons. NCBI's taxonomy places the organism in Eukaryota, Metazoa, Chordata, Mammalia, Primates, Hominidae. The record is from RefSeq and is a predicted model, not a curated record.